Molecule: ribosomal RNA, 512 nt
Filed under: uncultured bacterium
Lineage: Bacteria
Description: partial 16S ribosomal RNA
Rfam family: Bacterial small subunit ribosomal RNA
Source: RNAcentral
GACGAACGCUGGCGGCGUGCCUAAUACAUGCAAGUCGAGCGAAUCAAUAGGAGCUUGCUCCUGUUGGUUAGCGGCGGACGGGUGAGUAACACGUGGGCAACCUGCCUGUAAGACUGGGAUAACAUCGGGAAACCGAUGCUAAUACCGGAUAAUUCAUUCCCUCUCAUGAGGGAAUGUUGAAAGUCGGUUUCGGCUGACACUUACAGAUGGGCCCGCGGCGCAUUAGCUAGUUGGUGAGGUAACGGCUCACCAAGGCGACGAUGCGUAGCCGACCUGAGAGGGUGAUCGGCCACACGGGGACUGAGACACGGCCCAGACUCCUACGGGAGGCAGCAGUAGGGAAUCUUCCACAAUGGACGAAAGUCUGAUGGAGCAACGCCGCGUGAGCGAUGAAGGCCUUCGGGUCGUAAAGCUCUGUCGUUAGGAAAGAACAUGUACCGGAGUAACUGCCGGUACCUUGACGGUACCUAACCAGAAAGCCACGGCUAACUACGUGCCAGCAGCCGCAGUAA